This 465-nucleotide ribosomal RNA is filed under the name Escherichia coli. RNAcentral describes it as "bacterial SSU rRNA". It matches the Rfam family "Bacterial small subunit ribosomal RNA", at positions 292 to 749 of the family's 1533-position model. Lineage: Bacteria; Pseudomonadati; Pseudomonadota; Gammaproteobacteria; Enterobacterales; Enterobacteriaceae. The record is from RNAcentral.
CUGAGAGGAUGACCAGCCACACUGGAACUGAGACACGGUCCAGACUCCUACGGGAGGCAGCAGUGGGGAAUAUUGCACAAUGGGCGCAAGCCUGAUGCAGCCAUGCCGCGUGUAUGAAGAAGGCCUUCGGGUUGUAAAGUACUUUCAGCGGGGAGGAAGGGAGUAAAGUUAAUACCUUUGCUCAUUGACGUUACCCGCAGAAGAAGCACCGGCUAACUCCGUGCCAGCAGCCGCGGUAAUACGGAGGGUGCAAGCGUUAAUCGGAAUUACUGGGCGUAAAGCGCACGCAGGCGGUUUGUUAAGUCAGAUGUGAAAUCCCCGGGCUCAACCUGGGAACUGCAUCUGAUACUGGCAAGCUUGAGUCUCGUAGAGGGGGGUAGAAUUCCAGGUGUAGCGGUGAAAUGCGUAGAGAUCUGGAGGAAUACCGGUGGCGAAGGCGGCCCCCUGGACGAAGACUGACGCUCA